GACGAACGCUGGCGGCGUGCUUAACACAUGCAAGUCGAACGGAAAGGCCCUGCUUUUGUGGGGUGCUCGAGUGGCGAACGGGUGAGUAACACGUGAGUAACCCGCCCUUGACUUUGGGAUAACUUCAGGAAACUGGGGCUAAUACCGGAUAGGAGCUCCUGCUGCAUGGUGGGGGUUGGAAAGUUUCGGCGGUUGGGGAUGGACUCGCGGCUUAUCAGCUUGUUGGUGGGGUAGUGGCUUACCAAGGCUUUGACGGGUAGCCGGCCUGAGAGGGUGACCGGCCACAUUGGGACUGAGAUACGGCCCGGACUCCUACGGGAGGCAGCAGUGGGGAAUAUUGCACAAUGGGCGGAAGCCUGAUGCAGCAACGCCGCGUGCGGGAUGACGGCCUUCGGGUUGUAAACCGCUUUCGCCUGUGACGAAGCGUGAGUGACGGUAAUGGGUAAAGAAGCACCGGCUAACUACGUGCCAGCAGCCGCGGUGAUACGUAGGGUGCGAGCGUUGUCCGGAUUUAUUGGGCGUAAAGGGCUCAUAGGUGGUUGAUCGCGUCGGAAGUGUAAUCUUGGGGCUUAACCCUGAGCGUACUUUCGAUACGGGUUGACUUGAGGAAGGUAGGGGAGAAUGGAAUUCCUGGUGGAGCGGUGGAAUGCGCAGGUAUCAGGAGGAACACCAGUGGCGAAGGCGGUUCUCUGGGCCUUUCCUGACGCUGAGGAGCGAAAGCGUGGGGAGCGAACAGGCUUAGAUACCCUGGUAGUCCACGCUGUAAACGGUGGGUACUAGGUGUGGGGUCCAUUCCACGGGUUCCGUGCCGUAGCUAACGCUUUAAGUACCCCGCCUGGGGAGUACGGCCGCAAGGCUAAAACUCAAAGGAAUUGACGGGGCCCCGCACAAGCGGCGGAGCAUGCGGAUUAAUUCGAUGCAACGCGUAGAACCUUACCUGGGUUUGACAUGGAUCGGGAGUGCUCAGAGAUGGGUGUGCCUCUUUUGGGGUCGGUUCACAGGUGGUGCAUGCCUGUCGUCAGCUCGUGUCGUGAGAUGUUGGGUUAAGUCCCGCAACGAGCGCAACCCUUGUUCACUGUUGCCAGCACGUUAUGGUGGGGACUCAGUGGAGACCGCCGGGGUCAACUCGGAGGAAGGUGGGGAUGACGUCAAGUCAUCAUGCCCCUUAUGUCCAGGGCUUCACGCAUGCUACAAUGGCUGGUACAGAGAGUGGCGAGCCUGUGAGGGUGAGCGAAUCUCGGAAAGCCGGUCUCAGUUCGGAUUGGGGUCUGCAACUCGACCUCAUGAAGUCGGAGUCGCUAGUAAUCGCAGAUCAGCAACGCUGCGGUGAAUACGUUCCCGGGGCU
RNAcentral lists this ribosomal RNA (1346 nucleotides) under uncultured bacterium. RNAcentral describes it as "partial 16S ribosomal RNA". It matches the Rfam family "Bacterial small subunit ribosomal RNA", at positions 28 to 1381 of the family's 1533-position model. The record is from RNAcentral.